This 253-nucleotide ribosomal RNA is filed under the name uncultured bacterium. RNAcentral describes it as "partial 16S ribosomal RNA". It matches the Rfam family "Bacterial small subunit ribosomal RNA", at positions 524 to 776 of the family's 1533-position model. The record is from RNAcentral.
UACAGAGGGUGCGAGCGUUAAUCGGAUUUACUGGGCGUAAAGGGCGCGUAGGCGGAAAGGUGAGUGUGAUGUGAAAGCCCUGGGCUUAACCUAGGAAGUGCAUCGCAAACGACCUAACUGGAGUAUAAGAGAGGGUAGCGGAAUUUCCGGUGUAGCGGUGAAAUGCGUAGAUAUCGGAAGGAACGUCAAUGGCGAAGGCAGCUACCUGGCUUAAUACUGACGCUGAGGCGCGAAAGCGUGGGGAUCAAACAGG